Molecule: ribosomal RNA, 549 nt
Filed under: uncultured bacterium
Lineage: Bacteria
Description: bacterial SSU rRNA
Rfam family: Bacterial small subunit ribosomal RNA
Source: RNAcentral
UGGGGAAUAUUGCGCAAUGGGCGAAAGCCUGACGCAGCCAUGCCGCGUGUGUGAAGAAGGCCUUCGGGUUGUAAAGCACUUUCAAUUGGGAGGAAAGGCUCACGACUAAUACUCGUAAGCUGUGACGUUACCUUUAGAAGAAGCACCGGCUAACUCCGUGCCAGCAGCCGCGGUAAUACGGAGGGUGCGAGCGUUAAUCGGAAUUACUGGGCGUAAAGCGCGCGUAGGUGGUCUGUUAAGUCGGAUGUGAAAGCCCCGGGCUCAACCUGGGAACUGCAUCCGAUACUGGCAGACUAGAGUGCGGGAGAGGGAGGUAGAAUUCCACGUGUAGCGGUGAAAUGCGUAGAUAUGUGGAGGAAUACCAGUGGCGAAGGCGGCCUCCUGGCUCGACACUGACACUGAGGUGCGAAAGCGUGAGUAGCAAACAGGAUUAGAUACCCUGGUAGUCCACGCCGUAAACGAUGUCUACUAGCUGUAGGGGUACUUGAGACCUUUGUAGCGCAGCUAACGCACUAAGUAGACCGCCUGGGGAGUACGGCCGCAAGGUUA